GACGAACGCUGGCGGCGUGCUUAACACAUGCAAGUCGAACGGAAAGGCCCUGCUUUUGUGGGGUGCUCGAGUGGCGAACGGGUGAGUAACACGUGAGUAACCUGCCCUUGACUUUGGGAUAACUUCAGGAAACUGGGGCUAAUACCGGAUAGGAGCUCCUGCUGCAUGGUGGGGGUUGGAAAGUUUCGGCGGUUGGGGAUGGACUCGCGGCUUAUCAGCUUGUUGGUGGGGUAGUGGCUUACCAAGGCUUUGACGGGUAGCCGGCCUGAGAGGGUGACCGGCCCCAUUGGGCCUGGGAUACGGCCCAGACUCCUACGGGAGGCAGCAGUGGGGAAUAUUGCCAAAUGGGCGGAAGCCUGAUGCAGCAACGCCGCGUGCGGGAUGACGGCCUUCGGGUUGUAAACCGCUUUCGCCUGUGACGAAGCGUGAGUGACGGUAAUGGGUAAAGAAGCACCGGCUACCUACGU
This 467-nucleotide ribosomal RNA is filed under the name uncultured bacterium. RNAcentral describes it as "partial 16S ribosomal RNA". It matches the Rfam family "Bacterial small subunit ribosomal RNA", at positions 28 to 506 of the family's 1533-position model. The record is from RNAcentral.